GACGAACGCUGGCGGCGUGCCUAAUACAUGCAAGUAGAACGCUGAAGGAGGAGCUUGCUCUUCUGGAUGAGUUGCGAACGGGUGAGUAACGCGUAGGUAACCUGCCUGGUAGCGGGGGAUAACUAUUGGAAACGAUAGCUAAUACCGCAUAAAAUUGAUUAUUGCAUGAUAGUCAAUUAAAAGGUGCAAUUGCAUCACUACCAGAUGGACCUGCGUUGUAUUAGCUAGUUGGUGAGGUAACGGCUCACCAAGGCAACGAUACAUAGCCGACCUGAGAGGGUGAGCGGCCACACUGGGACUGAGACACGGCCCAGACUCCUACGGGAGGCAGCAGUAGGGAAUCUUCGGCAAUGGACGGAAGUCUGACCGAGCAACGCCGCGGGAGUGAAGAAGGUUGUCGGAUCGUAAAGCUCGGUUGUAAGAGAAGAACGAGUGUGAGAGUGGAAAGUUCACACUGUGACGGUAUCUUACCAGAAAGAGACGGCUAACUACGUG
RNAcentral lists this ribosomal RNA (495 nucleotides) under uncultured bacterium. RNAcentral's name for it is "partial 16S ribosomal RNA". It matches the Rfam family "Bacterial small subunit ribosomal RNA", at positions 28 to 507 of the family's 1533-position model. The record is from RNAcentral.